CAUUUGCGUUAGCGAUUGCAGUGGCAUCCUUUUAUGGUUUUUUUCGACCAUAAAAGAUAUAACGGAAAGCGCGCCCCAAA
This 80-nucleotide small RNA is filed under the name Formosa agariphila KMM 3901. RNAcentral describes it as "Flavo-1 RNA". It matches the Rfam family "Flavo-1 RNA". Lineage: Bacteria; Pseudomonadati; Bacteroidota; Flavobacteriia; Flavobacteriales; Flavobacteriaceae. The record is from Rfam by way of RNAcentral.